This 481-nucleotide ribosomal RNA is filed under the name uncultured bacterium. RNAcentral's name for it is "partial 16S ribosomal RNA". It matches the Rfam family "Bacterial small subunit ribosomal RNA", at positions 28 to 507 of the family's 1533-position model. The record is from RNAcentral.
GAUGAACGCUGGCGGCGUGCUUAACACAUGCAAGUCGAACGAAGCACUUUAUUUGAUUUCCUUCGGGACUGAUUAUUUUGUGACUGAGUGGCGGACGGGUGAGUAACGCGUGGGUAACCUGCCUUGUACAGGGGGAUAACAGUUGGAAACGGCUGCUAAUACCGCAUAAGCGCACAGCAUCGCAUGAUGCAGUGUGAAAAACUCCGGUGGUAUAAGAUGGACCCGCGUUGGAUUAGCUAGUUGGUGAGGUAACGGCCCACCAAGGCGACGAUCCAUAGCCGACCUGAGAGGGUGCCCGGCCACAUUGGGCCUGAGACACGGCCCAAACUCCUACGGGAGGCAGCGGUGGGGAAUAUUGCACAAUGGGCUAAAGCCUGAUGCAGCGACGCCGCGUGAGCGAAGAAGUAUUUCGGUAUGUAACGCUCUAUCAGCAGGGAAGAUAAUGACGGUACCUGACUAAGAAGCACCGGCUAAAUACGUG